GACGAACGCUGGCGGCGUGCUUAACACAUGCAAGUCGAACGGAAAGGCCUCUUUCGGGGGGUACUCGAGUGGCGAACGGGUGAGUAACACGUGAGUAACCUGCCCUUGACUUUGGGAUAACUUCAGGAAACUGGGGCUAAUACCGGAUAGGAGCUCCUGCUGCAUGGUGGGGGUUGGAAAGUUUCGGCGGUUGGGGAUGGACUCGCGGCUUAUCAGCUUGUUGGUGGGGUAGUGGCUUACCAAGGCUUUGACGGGUAGCCGGCCUGAGAGGGUGACCGGCCACAUUGGGACUGAGAUACGGCCCAGACUCCUACGGGGGGCAGCAGUGGGGAGUAUUGCACAAUGGGUGGAAGCCUGAUGCAGCAACGCCGUGUGCGGGAUGACGGCCUUCGGGUUGUAAACCGCUUUCGCUCAUGACGAAGCUUUGUGUGACGGUAGUGGGUAAAGAAGCACCGGCUAACUACGUG
This 467-nucleotide ribosomal RNA is filed under the name uncultured bacterium. Its description in RNAcentral is "partial 16S ribosomal RNA". It matches the Rfam family "Bacterial small subunit ribosomal RNA", at positions 28 to 507 of the family's 1533-position model. The record is from RNAcentral.